RNAcentral lists this unclassified non-coding RNA (1491 nucleotides) under Hevea brasiliensis (rubber tree). The record is from RNAcentral. Lineage: Eukaryota; Viridiplantae; Streptophyta; Magnoliopsida; Malpighiales; Euphorbiaceae.
AAAAUUUUAAUAAUAAAUUUGAUGCAUAGACACAAUCAUGAGGUUAUGAAAAAGGAAAAAAAAAAAUUACACUCAAUAAAUAUUCCAGAAAUAGCUCAUAAAAAUUAAAUGAAUUUUUUCUAUGGGAUAUACUCAAACGUCAUUGUAAUUUAAUUAGAUUAGUGGUGCAUGCUAGUAUUAAUCAGAAGCAAAUCAAGCUCAGGAUAGAAGAAAGCAUAAGAAUUCGUUUGAGUGAUCCUACUAAUUAAUCCUCUAAACUCAAAACCAUCUUCAUUAUUAUUAUAAGUUUCAAAUUCAUUUCCUGCUAUUAUAUAUAAUAUAUAAAACAAAUAGUAAAAGAAACUGAGUGCUAAAAAUUGGAAAAUCAAAUAUAAUAUUGCUUAGCACUUAAUCUUCUCUUCAGCAGCAAUGGAGUUCUUGCAAUGAGCAAUUGCUGCUUGAAUUGCAGCCUGCAAUUCCUCCAUGGUACUAUCACUAGUAGGAGAAGGAAGGGCUGCAGUUGCUACAAGAAGACCACUGUUUGUUGGAGAUGUUCUCAUGGAAGCAGGUGCAGAGAACUCUCCUCUCUCUCCUCGCAACUCCUGCUUAUUUCUCAAGCUUAAAUUGCCUGAAAACGAGUAGGUUUGCCUGUGUAUACGGGGAUUCUGUUUCCUUCCUUUAAAGAACAAUAGUGGCCUAACCAUUCGUACGUACCUCUUUAGUAUAUGACUUACUUCGAAUCUCAGCUUUUUCUUUUGCUUCUCUUUGUCUUCUGAUUUUCUAACUUCACAACCUUUUCGCCAACUGAAUAAAGAGAAAGGCUUAGGCUUGCUUCUAGCUUUUGUCUCGCCAUUGCUGCUUUGAUGUUGAUUUGUUUUAUUACUGCUGCUAUUAUUGUUGUUCCUGAUGUUGCUGCUAUUUCCAUGGCUGGUGCUGGGAUUGUUGUUACUCCUGUUGGAUUUUUUAUCAUCUAGUAAUUCUCUGAUGGGAAGGGUAAAGCUGUCCAAGGAAUUGGUGGAAGAGCGAGGAGAGACAGGAAGGUGAGAGAGAAGAUGGAGAGGAAGCAAGUGGCCAUGGAAGAAAAUGUCAUCUGCUGGAGACAAAUCAAUAGCAAAUGAAGGAGGAGGGGCUUUGGCCUUAUCAGGGACUGGUGUUGAGGAAGAAUGGAGAGAGAUUGUGAAGGAGAAUUCAUGAGAAGGAGAGGAAGAAGCUGAAGGUGGUGAGGCAGGGGAAAUGGUGGGUAAUAGUUGCUUGGCUGCUGGUAAUUCUCCUUUUCCUUCUUGUUUUAACUUGCUAUCUUCAUGCUUGUCCACAAAUUUUUCCCUAGUGUCUCUAUGCUGUAUGGUCUCCAUAAUUCCCAGAAACUAUGCAAGAAAGACUAAUAAGAAGAUCUGAUUCUGUAUCAGCAACUUUCUUCUUAAAUUUUUGGGUCUACAUAUAGUUCCAAACCUUAGAAAAUGAGAGAGAUAAGGCCUAAAGGUAUCAAGAAUCAGCGAAAGAAAGAAAGAAAAG